GUGGGGAAUCUUAGACAAUGGGGGAAACCCUGAUCUAGCCAUGCCGCGUGAGCGAUGAAGGCCUUAGGGUUGUAAAGCUCUUUCAGCUGGGAAGAUAAUGACGGUACCAGCAGAAGAAGCCCCGGCUAACUCUGUGCCAGCAGCCGCGGUAAUACGGAGGGGGCUAGCGUUGUUCGGAAUUACUGGGCGUAAAGCGCACGUAGGCGGAUCAGAAAGUCAGAGGUGAAAUCCCAGGGCUCAACCGUGGAACUGCCUUUGAAACUCCUGGUCUUGAGGUCGAGAGAGGUGAGUGGAAUUCCGAGUGUAGAGGUGAAAUUCGUAGAUAUUCGGAGGAACACCAGUGGCGAAGGCGGCUCACUGGCUCGAUACUGACGCUGAGGUGCGAAAGCGUGGGGAGCAAACAGGAUUAGAAACCCCAGUAGUCC
RNAcentral lists this ribosomal RNA (425 nucleotides) under uncultured bacterium. RNAcentral's name for it is "bacterial SSU rRNA". It matches the Rfam family "Bacterial small subunit ribosomal RNA", at positions 354 to 796 of the family's 1533-position model. The record is from RNAcentral.